GCCCUCGUGGCGGAAUUGGUAGACGCACUAGACUUAGGAUCUAGCGCCACUGGCGUGUCAGUUCGAGUCUGACCGAGGGCA
Molecule: transfer RNA, 81 nt
Filed under: Coccomyxa subellipsoidea C-169
Lineage: Eukaryota; Viridiplantae; Chlorophyta; Trebouxiophyceae; Coccomyxaceae
Description: tRNA-Leu
Rfam family: tRNA
About the family: Transfer RNA (tRNA) molecules are approximately 80 nucleotides in length. Their secondary structure includes four short double-helical elements and three loops (D, anti-codon, and T loops).
Source: RNAcentral